RNAcentral lists this ribosomal RNA (1401 nucleotides) under Vibrio vulnificus. RNAcentral's name for it is "partial 23S ribosomal RNA". It matches the Rfam family "Bacterial large subunit ribosomal RNA", at positions 1546 to 2925 of the family's 2925-position model. Lineage: Bacteria; Pseudomonadati; Pseudomonadota; Gammaproteobacteria; Vibrionales; Vibrionaceae. The record is from RNAcentral.
ACUCUUAAGGCUGAGACACGACGUCGAGCUACUACGGUAGUGAAGUCAUUGAUGCCAUGCUUCCAGGAAAAGCCUCUAAGCUUCAGAUUGUAAGGAAUCGUACCCCAAACCGACACAGGUGGUCGGGUAGAGAAUACCAAGGCGCUUGAGAGAACUCGGGUGAAGGAACUAGGCAAAAUGGUACCGUAACUUCGGGAGAAGGUACGCUCUUGAUGGUGAAGUCCCUUGCGGAUGGAGCUGACGAGAGUCGCAGAUACCAGGUGGCUGCAACUGUUUAUUAAAAACACAGCACUGUGCAAAAUCGUAAGAUGACGUAUACGGUGUGACGCCUGCCCGGUGCCGGAAGGUUAAUUGAUGGGGUUAGCGUAAGCGAAGCUCUUGAUCGAAGCCCCGGUAAACGGCGGCCGUAACUAUAACGGUCCUAAGGUAGCGAAAUUCCUUGUCGGGUAAGUUCCGACCUGCACGAAUGGCGUAAUGAUGGCCACGCUGUCUCCACCCGAGACUCAGUGAAAUUGAAAUCGCUGUGAAGAUGCAGUGUACCCGCGGCUAGACGGAAAGACCCCGUGAACCUUUACUACAGCUUGGCACUGAACAUUGAACCUACAUGUGUAGGAUAGGUGGGAGGCUUUGAAGACGUGACGCCAGUUGCGUUGGAGCCGUCCUUGAAAUACCACCCUUGUAUGUUUGAUGUUCUAACGUUGGCCCCUAAUCGGGGUUGCGGACAGUGCCUGGUGGGUAGUUUGACUGGGGCGGUCUCCUCCCAAAGAGUAACGGAGGAGCACGAAGGUGGGCUAAUCACGGUUGGACAUCGUGAGGUUAGUGCAAUGGCAUAAGCCCGCUUAACUGCGAGAAUGACGGUUCGAGCAGGUGCGAAAGCAGGUCAUAGUGAUCCGGUGGUUCUGAAUGGAAGGGCCAUCGCUCAACGGAUAAAAGGUACUCCGGGGAUAACAGGCUGAUACCGCCCAAGAGUUCAUAUCGACGGCGGUGUUUGGCACCUCGAUGUCGGCUCAUCACAUCCUGGGGCUGAAGUCGGUCCCAAGGGUAUGGCUGUUCGCCAUUUAAAGUGGUACGCGAGCUGGGUUUAGAACGUCGUGAGACAGUUCGGUCCCUAUCUGCCGUGGGCGUUGGAAGAUUGAAGGGGGCUGCUCCUAGUACGAGAGGACCGGAGUGGACGAACCUCUGGUGUUCGGGUUGUGUCGCCAGACGCAUUGCCCGGUAGCUAAGUUCGGAAUCGAUAACCGCUGAAAGCAUCUAAGCGGGAAGCGAGCCCUGAGAUGAGUCUUCCCUGAUACUUUAAGUAUCCUAAAGGGUUGUUCGAGACUAGAACGUUGAUAGGCAGGGUGUGUAAGCGCUGUGAGGCGUUGAGCUAACCUGUACUAAUUGCCCGUGAGGCUUAACCAU